AAUAGAUACCCCGGUAGUCCACGCCGUAAACGAUGAGUGCUAGAUAUCGGGAGUUUUUCUUUCGGUUUCGUAGUUAACACGUUAAGCACUCCGCCUGGGGAGUACGAUCGCAAGAUUAAAACUCAAAGGAAUUGACGGGGGCUCGCACAAGUGGUGGAGCAUGCGGUUUAAUUCGAUGCUACGCGAAAAACCUUACCAACCCUUGACAUGGUGAUCGUAGGUUACAGAAAUGUAACCGUCAGUUCGGCUGGAUCACACACAGGUGUUGCAUGGCUGUCGUCAGCUCGUGUCGUGAGAUGUUGGGUUAAGUCCCGCAACGAGCGCAACCCUCAUCCUUAUUUGCCAGCGGUUAGGCCGGGAACUAUAAGGAAACUGCCGGUGAUAAGCCGGAGGAAGGUGGGGAUGAUGUCAAGUCAUCAUGGCCCUUACGGGGUUGGGCUACACGCGUGCUACAAUGGUACUUACAGAGGGAAGCAAGACGGCGACGUGGAGCAAAUCCCUAAAAAGUAUCUCAGUUCGGAUUGCUCUCUGCAACUCGAGAGC
This 543-nucleotide ribosomal RNA is filed under the name uncultured bacterium. RNAcentral's name for it is "bacterial SSU rRNA". It matches the Rfam family "Bacterial small subunit ribosomal RNA", at positions 777 to 1319 of the family's 1533-position model. The record is from RNAcentral.